This 464-nucleotide ribosomal RNA is filed under the name uncultured marine eukaryote. RNAcentral's name for it is "bacterial SSU rRNA". It matches the Rfam family "Eukaryotic small subunit ribosomal RNA", at positions 617 to 1082 of the family's 1831-position model. The record is from RNAcentral.
AGUUAAAAAGCUCGUAGUUGGAUUUCUGUGUUGGUGAGGCGGCCGGCCAUUCGUGGUUGUAGCUAGUUAUCACCGACGCAUCUUGUCACAAGCCACGCUGGCCUUAACUGGUUGGCGUUGGGGACUGACUCGUUUACUUUGAGAAAAUUAGAGUGUUCAAAGCAGGCUAUCGCCUUGAAUAUGUUAGCAUGGAAUAAUGAUAUAGGACUUUGGUUCUAUUUUGUUGGUUGUUCGAGAACCGAAGUAAUGAUUGAUAGGGACAGUUGGGGGCAUCAGUAUUCUGAAGCGAGAGGUGAAAUUCUUGGACCUUCGGAAGACUAACAACUGCGAAAGCAUUUGCCUAGGAUGUUCUCUUUAAUCAAGAACGAAAGUUGGGGGAUCGAAGACGAUCAGAUACCGUCGUAGUCUCAACUAUAAACUAUGCCAGCUAGGGAUUGGUGGACGUUUAUUUAACGACUCCAUCA